UGCCCAGCCUGCUCCUCGGACUUAUCUUUUAUUCAUGGACAAGCAGUGUUCUCCGCUUUACCAGGACUCAGGCAUCAAUAUUUCAUCUUGCUUAGCCUGCCAGCACCAUCUCUCUCCUGCUUCCCGCUGGCUCUAGGACCCAGAGGGCUGGGUGUGCUGUCGACCUGCAGCCAUAGGACUCUGGGCUGCUUCCUCGGGCCCUGACCUGUCCUCUAUGCCAUCCAUCUGGCAGAGCGGCCCGACCAGGCAUGGCGUCUUUCUGAGCCAGAAGUCUUGCUCACUUUUUGUCUAUGAACCUGAAUGCUGGAAGAAAAGAAGUGACAGCAGCGGUCAGGACCAGGGCUACUUUGUCCUCACCCGACACUCGCCUGUAGACCCUGAGGCCUCCUGUCUGUGCUCAGGACCCUGAGGGCUGGACUGCGCAUCUGGAGGGGCUCCUGGGCCAUGGGGGGCCUCCUGGAAGGGCACAAAGCCCUGAAAUUCAUGUGCUGGUGUGUCCCUCUGUGAAGAGAGUUGCUGUGACCCGCUCAGCUGCAGCCCCAGCACUGCUUGUAGGAUGUGCCAUUGUCACCAGCCUGCUGUCUCCUCAUUAGUUCUCCCUCCUCAGUCUUGUCCAGACAGCUUAGACUUCCUGGUCUCUUUCCCAGAGAGGGAUGAGGAAAUGGCAGCCAGAAGAAGAUGUGCUGCAUUUCUGGGGGGACCACGUGGCCUGCAUCUCUCUUCCUCUGUGGCCUCCACCCUUCUCAGAGUCUGCACCAAGUACUGACGACUCCUCCCCGAUGUCAGCCACAGCCACCCAGUUCCAAGCAGGGGAGGUGGUAGCUUUCUCCUCUGCUGGCCUUAGCACAGCCUUGGGGACCCAGAGGAACUUCAUCAUAUUGAUUCGCCAUUGAUAGAACCCAUCUUUAGGCCACUGGUUCUCAAACAUAAGCAUGUAUCAGAAUUGCCUGGCAGGCUUGUUAAAACCUGAAUUACUGGCCCCAACACCAGCUUCUGACUUAAUAAAUAAGGGAUGGGGGCUGAGAGUUUGCAUUUCUAACAAGUUCUUAGGUGAUGCUGAUGUUGUUGCUCUUUCGGGAUCACACUCUGAGAACCACUGUUGUUCUCAGCAAAAACCUCACUUGCCCUUCCAGUCUAAGGGGGUAGAGGAGGAAAGCUGAUCUCAUUGGGGAGAGGG
Molecule: long non-coding RNA, 1177 nt
Filed under: Heterocephalus glaber (naked mole-rat)
Lineage: Eukaryota; Metazoa; Chordata; Mammalia; Rodentia; Bathyergidae
Description: lncRNA (ENSHGLG00000039870.1)
Source: RNAcentral